This 253-nucleotide ribosomal RNA is filed under the name uncultured bacterium. RNAcentral's name for it is "partial 16S ribosomal RNA". It matches the Rfam family "Bacterial small subunit ribosomal RNA", at positions 524 to 776 of the family's 1533-position model. The record is from RNAcentral.
UACGUAGGGGGCAAGCGUUGUCCGGAAUCAUUGGGCGUAAAGCGCGUGUAGGCGGUUCGGUAAGUCUGCUGUGAAAGUCCAGGGCUCAACCCUGGAAAGCCGGUGGAUACUGCCGGGCUAGAGUCCGGGAGAGGCGAGUGGAAUUCCUGGUGUAGCGGUGGAAUGCGCAGAUAUCAGGAGGAACACCUAAGGCGAAGGCAGCUCGCUGGAACGGUACUGACGCUGAGGCGCGAAAGCGUGGGGAGCAAACAGG